This 384-nucleotide ribosomal RNA is filed under the name Dasia olivacea. RNAcentral describes it as "partial 12S rRNA". The stretch from base 45 to 384 matches the Rfam family "Bacterial small subunit ribosomal RNA", at positions 875 to 1384 of the family's 1533-position model. The record is from RNAcentral. Lineage: Eukaryota; Metazoa; Chordata; Lepidosauria; Squamata; Scincidae.
GCUUCGCCCUUAACAUACACAGAGAAAUACAACCCUGUUCGCCAGAGAACUACAAGUGAAAAACUAGAAACUCCAAGGACUUGGCGGUGCUCCAUACCGACCUAGAGGAGCCUGUCCUAUAAUCGAUACUCCACGCUAAACCUCACCACUCUUUGCACCUCAGCUUAUAUACCGCCGUCGUCAGCUUACCUUGUGAAAGAAAUAAAAUAAGCAAAAUAGUCUUAAACUAACACGUCAGGUCAAGGUGUAGCACAUAAAGUGGCAGAGAUGGGCUACAUUUUCUACUACAGAAAACACGAAUAGAGCAGUGAAACCUGCCCCUGAAGGCGGAUUUAGCAGUAAGACAAACAAGAAAAUCUCUCUUAACCCCGCUCUGGAGCGCGC